This is a long non-coding RNA of Oncorhynchus tshawytscha (Chinook salmon), 494 nucleotides long. NCBI's taxonomy places the organism in Eukaryota, Metazoa, Chordata, Actinopteri, Salmoniformes, Salmonidae. The record is from Ensembl.
GUAUUUGGUCUCCAGGGGUGUUUUGACUGUACUAUGUGUGAGGUAUUUGGUCUCCAGGGGUGUUUUGACUGUACUAUGUGGGAGGUAUUUGGUCUCCAGGGGUGUUUUGACUGUACUAUGUGGGAGGUAUUUGGUCUCCAGGGGUGUUUUGACUGUAGUAUGUGGGAGGUAUCUGGUCUCCAGGGGUGUUUUGACUGUACUAUGUGGGAGGUAUUUGGUCUCCAGGGGUGUUUUGACUGUACUAUGUGGGAGGUAUUUGGUCUCCAGGGGUGUUUUGACUGUACUAUGUGGGAGGUAUCAAGAUUUGAAUCAGACAACAUUGUGUCAGAGGUAAAAAACAAACGGAAGCAUCAUUACAAAUGUUUGAGAGGGUUGUUGCUAAACAGGGUGAUGUUUUGAAGUUGUUCCGGGGAUGUAACACAUACAAAAGCCCAGACAAAAUAAGUGGGGUGUGUUAAAUAAGUGUGUGAAAGCGUUUGUGUUGAACAACUGGC